RNAcentral lists this unclassified non-coding RNA (242 nucleotides) under Hevea brasiliensis (rubber tree). The record is from RNAcentral. Lineage: Eukaryota; Viridiplantae; Streptophyta; Magnoliopsida; Malpighiales; Euphorbiaceae.
GAUGUAAUUAUCAGAUGGAGGAGAAUGUCAGGUUAUAACACCUUGUGGGUGCCAGGAAUGGACCAUGCAGGCAUUGCUACCCAGGUCGUCGUCGAGAAGAAGCUAAUGCGUGAAGAGAAAAAAACCAGACAUGAUAUUGGACGCACGAAAUUUGAGGAAAAAGUUUGGGCAUGGAAAAUGGAUUAUGGAGGUACUAUAUUGAACCAAGAACGUAGGCUGGGAGCUUCUCUCGAUUGGUCCCG